Desarmillaria ectypa is the source of this 80-nucleotide non-coding RNA. The record is from the annotation of a GenBank genome assembly. Lineage: Eukaryota; Fungi; Basidiomycota; Agaricomycetes; Agaricales; Physalacriaceae.
GGUGCUAUGGUGUAGUGGUAGCACAUGGGAUUCUGAUUGAAUGAUUUCCCAUAACCCAGGUUCGAUCCCUGGUAGUACCU